RNAcentral lists this ribosomal RNA (486 nucleotides) under uncultured soil bacterium. Its description in RNAcentral is "bacterial SSU rRNA". It matches the Rfam family "Bacterial small subunit ribosomal RNA", at positions 26 to 501 of the family's 1533-position model. The record is from RNAcentral.
AGAGUGAACGCUGGCGGCAGGCCUAACACAUGCAAGUCGAACGGCAGCACAGGGGAGCUUGCUCCCUGGGUGGCGAGUGGCGGACGGGUGAGGAAAACGUCGGAAUCUGCCUAUUUGUGGGGGAUAACGUAGGGAAACUUACGCUAAUACCGCAUACGACCUACGGGUGAAAGCGGAGGACCUUCGGGCUUCGCGCAGAUAGAUGAGCCGACGUCGGAUUAGCUAGUUGGCGGGGUAAAGCCCACCAAGGCGACGAUCCGUAGCUGGUCUGAGAGGAUGAUCAGCCACACUGGAACUGAGACACGGUCCAGACUCCUACGGGAGGCAGCAGUGGGAAUAUUGGACAAUGGGCGCAAGCCUGAUCCAGCCAUGCCGCGUGUGUGAAGAAGGCCGUUGGUGUAAAGCACUUUUGUUAGGGAAGAAAAGCCGUACGGUUAAUACCCGGUAGUCAUGACGGUACCCAAAGAACUAAGCAACCGGUCUAAC